RNAcentral lists this long non-coding RNA (1578 nucleotides) under Coturnix japonica (Japanese quail). Its description in RNAcentral is "lncRNA (ENSCJPG00005015813.1)". Lineage: Eukaryota; Metazoa; Chordata; Aves; Galliformes; Phasianidae. The record is from RNAcentral.
AUGGUUUCCCCAAAUUAUUCCUCCUCUGCAAGGAUGGCGUGGGUGCGUGGGGAGGCUGCGCGGCAGGGGGCUGGGGGGGCUCUGCAGCAGCACAGGGAGCACCCACAUGGGCACAGCAGGGACGGUCCCGCCGUGUUCAUGGUAGGACAGACACCGUGUGACACAGCAGCCCCGUCUGGGCGCUCAGGCAGAACUCAGCAGGGCCCCAGGAGGAGGCUGAGUCCUGAGGGCUGCGAGGUGUGUGUGGGGGCUGUGUCUGUGCCUCAGGGUGCACUGUCACACUGUCACAUGCCCCAGCACCACGUCCCCUCUGCAGGGAGAGGAUUUUGCCCCCACCCACUCUCCUGCCUCCUGCCGGUAGGUGCCAGCAGCCCCGUUCUGUCCCCAGCCCUGCUGCAUCCCCCAAGGAUGCCACCAUUAGCUGGCAGCAUUUUGGAGCUGCAGAUACUCUCUGCGUGGGGCCUGUAUGAGGCCCACGGCACCCUCUGGGGGCACAGCAAACCUGCCACCUGCAUCCCACUGCAUCCUCUCCAAGGGAGGGCCCUGGUGGUUUGUCACAGACCCCAAUAUCGCUGCUGCUGGGAGGCAGCUCUGCCCUGUGUGUGCCACCAGCACUGUGCCCACAGCUGUGGCCCCACACGGCACCAAGGGGCCCAGCAGUGCCUUCCCAGCAGUGUGCAGGGAGCAGCACGAGGGCGUUUGGGGCCAGCUGAGACCCCGGGCUGCAGGAGGGGCCCUGGGGAGGCUCCAGAAAUUGGGUCACUCCUUGCACGUGGCACGGGCUGUUGGUUCAAGGGCUGCAUGGUGCCACUGCCCCCAACCUGCUCUGCCCCCAGCCUGUCCUGUGCCCACGCUGGGCUCGGCACUGAGCGCUGCCCUUCAGCCCACCCAGCUCAGCUGCGCGCUGCCCCCAGCACGUUGCCAGCCCAUGGGCAUUGCUGCACCCCGCGUCCAUCACACCACGGGCGGCCCAGGCGUUCUGCCUGUAGUGCGCUGCCAGCACAGCCCCCGCCUGAGCCGCCCGCACGCUGCCUACAUGCACCGCACCGAGCACGCUGCUGCUGCAGCACUGCACUCACAGCACAGUCACGCUGCCGCUGCAUCCUGCACUGCACUGAGCCGGCUGCCACUGCACUGCCCUGCGGCCUUGGGCACGCUGCAUGUGUGUGUGCCCUCUGCACUGCAAGCACCGUGCUUGUGCAAGGCGUGCUGCAUGCUGCACUUGCAGCACAGGCCUGGGUGCUCUGUGCAGGGACCUGCCGGGUCAUGAUGGUGUCCCCUCCCCGUGUGCCCCGGCCCGUUCUCCCCUUUAAGGCCGGUGCUCGGGGCUCCCCGCCCCGAGGGGCACCUGCAGAUGGAUACAGACGGGCAGCCCGGUGCGGCAGGGCACCGUGCCGGGUGGCAUCGCCAGGACUGCUGUCAGACCCCGUUACCUGCCCGGAAUGCAGCGGGGCGAGGGGACACGGCCGGGAAAGCAGAGCUGCCGGUCCCGGGGCGGUGGCCCAGCGCUGCGCACCGGCACCGGGUGACACUGGGCCCGCUGGGCCGCGCCGGGUGCUGAGCCGGGCCCGGGGAUAG